RNAcentral lists this ribosomal RNA (746 nucleotides) under uncultured bacterium. RNAcentral's name for it is "bacterial SSU rRNA". It matches the Rfam family "Bacterial small subunit ribosomal RNA", at positions 75 to 821 of the family's 1533-position model. The record is from RNAcentral.
GGUUUUCGGACCAAGAGACCGGCGCACGGGUGCGUAACGCGUAUGCAAUCUACCUUUUACAGAGGGAUAGCCCAGAGAAAUUUGGAUUAAUACCUCAUAGUAUUACGACUCGGCAUCGAGAUGUAAUUAAAGUCACAACGGUAAAAGAUGAGCAUGCGUCCCAUUAGCUUGUUGGUAAGGUAACGGCUUACCAAGGCAACGAUGGGUAGGGGUCCUGAGAGGGAGAUCCCCCACACUGGUACUGAGACACGGACCAGACUCCUACGGGAGGCAGCAGUGAGGAAUAUUGGUCAAUGGGCGCAAGCCUGAACCAGCCAUGCCGCGUGCAGGAUGAAGCAUCUAUGGUGUGUAAACUGCUUUUGUACGAGAAGAAACACUCCUACGUGUAGGAGCUUGACGGUAUCGUAAGAAUAAGGACCGGCUAACUCCGUGCCAGCAGCCGCGGUAAUACGGAGGGUCCAAGCGUUAUCCGGAAUCAUUGGGUUUAAAGGGUCCGUAGGCGGUUUUGUAAGUCAGUGGUGAAAGCCCACCGCUCAACGGUGGAACGGCCAUUGAUACUGCAAGACUUGAAUUAUUGGGAAGUAACUAGAAUAUGUAGUGUAGCGGUGAAAUGCUUAGAGAUUACAUGGAAUACCAAUUGCGAAGGCAGGUUACUACCAAUAUAUUGACGCUGAUGGACGAAAGCGUGGGGAGCGAACAGGAUUAGAUACCCUGGUAGUCCACGCCGUAAACGAUGGAUACUAGCU